Molecule: long non-coding RNA, 359 nt
Filed under: Olea europaea (common olive)
Lineage: Eukaryota; Viridiplantae; Streptophyta; Magnoliopsida; Lamiales; Oleaceae
Description: long non-coding RNA (OEUR_LNC002912)
Source: RNAcentral
GAUGCUGCUAACUCAGUUGUUAAAAAACAUAAAUUGAAGCUUCGGGACCGUGAACUGAGACUGUCUCAUGCCAAUACAAAAUCCACUCCCUCGAAGAGAAAGAAUAUUUCACUACCAGAGACCUACAAUACCCCUGCCAAGAAGUUUGCUGUUGAUUCCAGAUUUUCGGGUAGUGAUAAUAAGGUGAAAGCUAAGGCCAAUACGUCUUACCAGGGUAUGCGGGCAAGCAAAUCUGGCACCCAGAAGAAGGUCCCUGCAAGAGUCAAUGCACCGGCAAAGUCAAAAUCUGGAUCAUCCAUGGAGAAGCCAGUUAAGGGCAAAAGACCAGCAGUGGCUGCUAGAAAGCUAAAAGCACAACG